RNAcentral lists this transfer RNA (84 nucleotides) under Acidobacteriota bacterium. Its description in RNAcentral is "Acidobacteria bacterium (permafrost metagenome) tRNA-Leu". It matches the Rfam family "tRNA". From Rfam's summary of the family: Transfer RNA (tRNA) molecules are approximately 80 nucleotides in length. Their secondary structure includes four short double-helical elements and three loops (D, anti-codon, and T loops). Further hydrogen bonds mediate the characteristic L-shaped molecular structure. tRNAs have two regions of fundamental functional importance: the anti-codon, which is responsible for specific mRNA codon recognition, and the 3' end, to which the tRNAs corresponding amino acid is attached (by aminoacyl-tRNA synthetases). tRNAs cope with the degeneracy of the genetic code in two manners: having more than one tRNA (with a specific anti-codon) for a particular amino acid; and 'wobble' base-pairing, i.e. permitting non-standard base-pairing at the 3rd anti-codon position. Lineage: Bacteria; Pseudomonadati; Acidobacteriota. RNAcentral also lists the same sequence under 5 other names. The record is from RNAcentral.
GCCGAAGUGGUGGAAUUGGCAGACACGCUAGCUUGAGGGGUUAGUUCCCGCAAGGGAUUGGGGGUUCGAGUCCCCCCUUCGGCA